Molecule: long non-coding RNA, 1201 nt
Filed under: Eucalyptus grandis
Lineage: Eukaryota; Viridiplantae; Streptophyta; Magnoliopsida; Myrtales; Myrtaceae
Description: long non-coding RNA (EGRA_LNC001097)
Source: RNAcentral
ACAGUUUUUUGACUUGAAAAAGCUUAAUGGAAUAGUAAGUUAGGAUGUCAAGCCUAAUGAUUGAAAAUGGAAUUCUUAUCCUCGUAGAUUAGAUGCUUAAUUGGCGUAGUCAUAACUAGCUCAAUGGAUUUCUUCUUUGUACUCGAUCUACAAUUUUUUUUGGACCUUUCUCGUAUGUAGUAUGUGAAGUUCAGAUCACAUCUACAACUUCUCCAUGUGAGAUGUGAACUUUCUGUAUCAUUUUCUUUUGUCUAAUUCCAAUUAGCUUUCAGAUUUCAGAAGAUGAAAGAAGAUCUUAUGAGUGGUAGAAAUCAGUACUGAGCAACAGCGUAAAGCUAGAGUAGGAAAAGGAAUAUGUGAUUGAGAUGAAGUUAGAGUCAUUUCUUUAACUGUUUUUUUUGCAGUCAUUCCAUGUGUAAUUUUUUCUGUCUGUUCUUGGGAGGAGAUGCAAAUGGAGUGAGAAGGGGCUACUUGGGUUUCUAUACUAAAGUUAACUGACUUGGUUUAAUUUUCUUUCACUUAGUAGUAAAGAGUAAAGACACGACUAUCCAUUUAUCUCGUGCCUUCCUUUUAGUGAUGCAGUGCCAACAGGUCCGGGCCACAUUGAAACAGUUUUUUGACUUGAAAAAGCUUAAUGGAAUAGUAAGUUAGGAUGUCAAGCCUAAUGAUUGAAAAUGGAAUUCUUAUCCUCGUAGAUUAGAUGCUUAAUUGGCGCAGUCAUAACUAGCUCAAUGGAUUUCUUCUUUGUACUCGAUCUACAAUUUUUUUUGGACCUUUCUCGUAUGUAGUAUGUGAAGUUCAGAUCACAUCUACAACUUCUCCAUGUGAGAUGUGAACUUUCUGUAUCAUUUUCUUUUGUCUAAUUCCAAUUAGCUUUCAGAUUUCAGAAGAUGAAAGAAGAUCUUAUGAGUGGUAGAAAUCAGUACUGAGCAGCAGCGUAAAGCUAGAGUAGGAAAAGGAAUAUGUGAUUGAGAUAAAGUUAGAGUCAUUUCUUUAACUGUUUUUUUUGCAGUCAUUCCAUGUGUAAUUUUUUCUUUUCCUGUUGCAAUGAUCUUUCAGAUUUAAUUGCCUUGAUUUCAACCAAUGCUUUCUGGAAAUGACUAAAAAGCUAAGUAUUGUUUCCUGUGCAGUCAAAUGCACAAUUUUUAGUCUUCUCCCUGCUCCUCAUGUCUGCCUUAUAUCUUUCUGGAUGUUCAGGAAC